CAGAUUUAACCAUCAGCAAGAAAUAUCUCUCAUUCGUAUGCUGGAUUUCCACAGAUGUGAAUAAAUCCUGCUCAUCUAACAUGAGAGAAAGUCAAGGAAAGCAGAAAGCCAGCUGCUGCCCUUAAGAUAAGUUGAAGAUCAUGCAUUUCAAAUAGUCACUGGAGCCACUACAGAUACAGAACUCCACUCAUCCUUGACCUGGGAACAACUGCCCAUCACACAUCUGCAUGAAAGAAUUUUACCACACGCGUCUGACAUUCCAGAAGAUUCUCCCAGUCUUCUCAAUGUGUAUUAUACAGGGAUG
Molecule: long non-coding RNA, 304 nt
Organism: Cyanistes caeruleus (blue tit)
Lineage: Eukaryota; Metazoa; Chordata; Aves; Passeriformes; Paridae
Source: RefSeq, a predicted model, not a curated record